RNAcentral lists this ribosomal RNA (468 nucleotides) under uncultured bacterium. RNAcentral's name for it is "partial 16S ribosomal RNA". It matches the Rfam family "Bacterial small subunit ribosomal RNA", at positions 28 to 507 of the family's 1533-position model. The record is from RNAcentral.
GACGAACGCUGGCGGCGUGCUUAACACAUGCAAGUCGAACGGAAAGGCCCUGCUUUUGUGGGGUGCUCGAGUGGCGAACGGGUGAGUAACACGUGAGUAACCUGCCCUUGACUUUGGGAGAACUUCAGGAAACUGGGGCUAAUACCGGAUAGGAGCUCCUGCUGCAGGGGGGGGGUUGGAAAGUUUCGGCGGUGUGGGAUGGACUCGCGGCUUAUCAGCUUGUUGGUGGGGUAGUGGCUUACCAAGGCUUUGACGGGUAGCCGGCAUGAGAGGGUGACCGGCCACAUUGGGACUGAGAUACGGCCCAGACUCCUACGGGAGGCAGAAGUGGGGAAUAUUGCAGAAUGGGCGGACGCCUGAUGCAGCAACGCCGCGUGCGGGAUGACGGCCUUCGGGUUGUAAACCGCUUUCGCCUGUGACGAAGCGUGAGUGACGGUAAUGGGUAAAGAAGCACCGGCUAACUACGUG